AAUAAAAGGUGUAAUUAAGCAAUAUCUUUUUUAUAUUAUUAUUCUUGUGUGUGCGUGUGUUUAUAUAUAUCCGUGGUUUGUAUUCCACUAACCAAGGUUGUUUUUCAUGCGAAUAUAAGUGGCUGAAGAGAUGAUUGUUUGUUUAGCUCCUCCUCCACUAAGUGAUGUGAUUAUGGGUGCAAUCUGGUACGUUUGCACCAAACUCAUUGUAAAAAUAGACAAAGAUUGUACCAAAAACUCUUUAUCACUUCAUGAAAUGUGCUUCCACU
This 269-nucleotide long non-coding RNA is filed under the name Ricinus communis (castor bean). RNAcentral's name for it is "long non-coding RNA (RCOM_LNC000514)". The record is from RNAcentral. Lineage: Eukaryota; Viridiplantae; Streptophyta; Magnoliopsida; Malpighiales; Euphorbiaceae.